AUCUCAUGUCACAUCGUGCAGAAGUGUUUUGUUUUCGAUGAGUUCAUCAUUGGGUGCUGUCAGAACCCGUCUGUAUCACACUCAGAGUCGUGGUAAUUCAUGCAGGUCACAUACCGUUCUAGUCGCGGAUCAUCGAGUCGAAGUAGGCGCCUCCCCUCCUUCUGUUCCACGCCCAGAUAAGGGAGGUGAAGAGCAGUAGGCGGUGGCCAGCCGGGCGGUAGCGGAGGCAGAUCCGGAUCCGCUUACAGUCCAGAACCGAUUGUGGUCCGUCGUAAACACUAACCAACCAACCUCGGUAGGAUCGGCAGCUGGCGUGUGGUGAUCUUCACCGUGCGACGUGGAGCGGACAGAAACACCGCAACAACAACAACGAAACGACGCACUCGAGAACUACACAGCUCCACAAACGAAACGACGAAACCUUGCUCUCAACACACACAGCACCGAAACUCAGACCGAACUGUCCGACACGGAGGCCUCGCAGGUUCCGUAGGGGUUCCCCACCGCCGCUCGUCGCCCUCGGCCCCUCGGUCGGGGCGUCGUGCGAGUGUCGUCGGUGGAGCCGACCACACUCACACAGAUAACGGGUCGACCGAGAGAGAGAGCGCGAGAGAGUUUGGGGGAUUCGGACUCGGAUCGCAGGGCCGAAGUUAGGGAACAUCGGAGUCGGUCGGUUUUUUGGAGCUGUGUGUUGGGGGAUCCAAGUAGCCCACGUGGUGGUAGUUGUUCUGGCAUUGCUCACAUACGCACAGUUUACUCUGAGUCUGAUAGUGGGGUUGCGUGGUGGUGAAACGUAAAAGCUCUUCAAUUUCGUACACGCUGAGAAUUAUGACUACUUUUCCGGGCAGCGUUGCCAAGUUACCGACAUAUUUGUUGUAUUGUGUCUAAUCUAACCGAAACCAAUCAAAAAUAUUAAACGCAAAAUCGGCACUUUGAAGUUCAAUUGCAGUAUCUAAAAAGCUGUUACAUCUGAAAUCAAGUCAUUUUAAAUUUAGAAUUUUGAUUUAAAAAAAAAAACGUUUUUUAGAAAAGAUAUAUUUUGCAUGCAAGCUUCUAAAUUAACUGUUCUUAGUAAAAUUUAAUGAUUACAAAAUUGUUUCGCAGCUAUAGAAAAAUAUAUCCUGCAAAGUGUCUGACGUUAUUAAUUUACAUAAAAAUCCUGUCAUACAAUAAAAACCGUUUAUUGUCUUUCAUAUAAUUUUUAAGUUAUGUUUAUUUGUUUUCAAGUAAGUUUUGCGCUUUUUUUCACUUAUUGUUUAACUUAAAAUUAACAAAAUGUUUUUUCAACGCUUCGAUUACUGUGAUUUGUAAUAAUUCGACAGUAGCAUAAGCUGUAUCUUCUAUUUCUGAUGUUAACAAUUGAAAUGCUUUGAUUUAUUAAAAUUUAACAGCUCGAUAUUUUUGAAGUUGACGUCAGUAAACGCGUCGGUUUGUUCAAGGUAUGAAUUUAACCAUUCUAGGGGAGCAAUGAGGAUUCUAAAGAAAUUCAAUGGCUUUAAAAGAACUUGCAAAACAUAAACCAUAAAUCAUUAUUUGACAAUUCUAUGCAACAUUCAGUUCAGUGAAGUUUGACAUUUCGAUGCCUCUGUGCUCUCUUAUGCUAACAAGAAAACCAGUAAGCUUAGUUCAAGAGUGCUCGAUUUACUGAAACAAUACAAAAUGAUUUAUUCAAUAAAAAUUUCUCUGCCAUUUGUAGGUUUUUGGACACAAGCAAUAAUUUGACAGUUCGGUUUUCAAUUCAUUUUUGGGAUUACUAUUUAUAAAAACCGCUGUGAAUUGUUGCAACCUUCAAGCUUAUAAAAAAACUUAAUUUUUAAGUAAUA
Molecule: long non-coding RNA, 1823 nt
Organism: Culex quinquefasciatus (southern house mosquito)
Lineage: Eukaryota; Metazoa; Arthropoda; Insecta; Diptera; Culicidae
Exons: 2
Source: RefSeq, a predicted model, not a curated record